UACUGCUCACUUCAGCAGUACAUAUAAUAAAAUUGGAAUGAUACCCAGAGAAGAUUAGCACGGCCUCUGCACAAGGAUGACACACAAAUUUGUGAAGUGUUCCAUAUUUUU
Small nuclear RNA from Heterocephalus glaber (naked mole-rat), 111 nucleotides. Lineage: Eukaryota; Metazoa; Chordata; Mammalia; Rodentia; Bathyergidae. The record is from Ensembl.